Long non-coding RNA from Capsicum annuum, 557 nucleotides. RefSeq lists it as uncharacterized. The record is from RefSeq and is a predicted model, not a curated record. The transcript has 3 exons. NCBI's taxonomy places the organism in Eukaryota, Viridiplantae, Streptophyta, Magnoliopsida, Solanales, Solanaceae.
UUACUUAAUAAGCAAAUUCAAAUAGGAACGGGAAAACAAUAUAAUUAUAUAUUUCAAAGGGCUUUGCCCAUUCCCUGUAAGUGCACCCCUUUUAGCAAAAGCAACAACAGUUGCGUUUAUAGCAUCAAAAAAUGAAAAAAAAAUAAAAAUUAGCUUGUUUAAUUGAAGAAGAUUAAAUCAGGGAAGAAGAGAAAAAAGUAAGAUUGUUUGGAGAUAUCUAUCGGGUUUAAGGUUUGAUCCAAGAAAGCGAUACGAAUCAUUCGAGGUGACAAAUUGAUAUUUCGACAAGAGUACUAGAACGCAGGUGACGAUGAGGAUCGUGUUGGCUUGAGGAUCCGAGUAGCAUAUUCUUGGUGAGCCCCGCAAUUAUUCGCGUGGGCUAUAGUUUAUUUAUUCGACAUGUUUCUUUUUUGUGAACACUCUUAGUUUGCUCCAUAGUUGUGUCUUUAGAGCUUGAGUAUUCUUUCAUUAUUUUGAAUUUGUGGAGUAUUUGACUUCCUCUUAUUUUUGGAGAUUGAUUUCGUAUUGUUAGUUGGUGGUAUUGGUGAAUUGUUGAU